Molecule: long non-coding RNA, 489 nt
Filed under: Numida meleagris (helmeted guineafowl)
Lineage: Eukaryota; Metazoa; Chordata; Aves; Galliformes; Numididae
Description: lncRNA (ENSNMEG00000020699.1)
Source: RNAcentral
AUGGACUUCAUUCAAGCCGAGGAACGGAUAAAAGACUCUAAAACCGUAUUUUUCCUUUGUCCCAGCACUGCUGAAAAAGCAUCGGAGGAAGGUUUUGUCACCGGCACGCCGCCUGCACAGCGCCCGCGCUGCCACAUAACGCAGCCUCGAAGAUCCGAGGCUGGUUUCCCCCCAGUCACGCUUUGCUGGGCGCCUCGCUCCGGCUGCGGGCAGGCAGCAACAGGUGCACGGUGCACGGCGCCCGCUUUGUGUACGCGGCAGCUGCGAGCGGGGCAGGGAGCGGCGCGCUCCCAGCCACAAAGCGCCCGGAGAAUAAUGCCCGGUGACGAUCAAAGCGCUCCUGAUGAGGCACAAAGCUCCAGGGAGAGAAUUCGCUCUGUGUCGCGGCCGAAAACGGCGUCGGGAGCGGGGAAGGAGCGGACGGACCGUGUGGGCAUGGCGCCGGGGCAGCCGUUCCUGCAGGAGAUUCCCUUACAUCAGAGAGCUUGA